RNAcentral lists this unclassified non-coding RNA (223 nucleotides) under plant metagenome. RNAcentral's name for it is "partial contains small subunit ribosomal RNA and internal transcribed spacer 1". The stretch from base 1 to 46 matches the Rfam family "Eukaryotic small subunit ribosomal RNA", at positions 1786 to 1831 of the family's 1831-position model. The record is from RNAcentral.
AAGUCGUAACAAGGUUUCCGUAGGUGAACCUGCGGAAGGAUCAUUAGUGAAAUCGAGGGCUUUUGGAGCACUCUCUUCUCUAUAACUAUACUUCAUUGUGCACAGGCGGGUAGCUGAGAGGAAACUCUCUUCUGCUUGCUGUUACCAUACUACUUUAUCAUCAACUUGGCGCGUAUGUUUUUGGGUUGAAUCUUAUGUUAAAUGAGAGAAAACUUUUGUACAA